Molecule: long non-coding RNA, 2330 nt
Organism: Gallus gallus (chicken)
Lineage: Eukaryota; Metazoa; Chordata; Aves; Galliformes; Phasianidae
Source: Ensembl
GCUGGCUGAUAUGUUUAUUUCAGACAAUGAUCAGUACAAAUACAAUGAUAAUCUGGGGUGGCUUUUUGCUUAGCUCUUUUCCUAUUGUUUAGCCUUUCUGCUAUUAGUUAGCGGAUUAAUCCUAAUCCUUUUGUAGCAGAGUUUUACUAGAUUGUAUGGCUCACAUCACAGAAAGAAUGGAUCUUUGCACUCAAAUGGGAUAUAAACAAUAUUUAAUCUCAUUUUGUUGUGUCUAUAUUUUGCAAUCACGAAACCAAGAACAAAGAGAGAAAAAAAGGAAGGAGUCUAGGAAAUUCAGUUAGGAAAACAGUGGCAUAUUUCUGACAUAUCUUUCAGACAAAUGAGUUUUGAAGUGCAACUUAAACAACCUUGACUUGUUUUCACAAGCACAAAAUAUGCAAGUUUGGGAGAUUCUCAACAGGCCUUGAAAUAAGAAUGCAGGAAGGAGACUGGAUAAGGCAGGAGAGAGGGGAUGUGCAGUAUUUUACCCUUCCAUGCUGUGUAAAUAACACAGGGGAGUUUAGCAGAGGCUGUGAGUUCUACACAAAUCACAGCAAUGGGCUGUAGGACAGGGGUCAGCUGGAACAGCCCUGCCCAUAAUCCUGUGCAACUGGUCAAGCCAGAGCACCAGUAGACCCAUGGCCACCUGUGUGAUUGUGUAUCUUUCUAGGCUGCAGAGGCACAGGAGGCCUCUUCUCCAUCAAAGGUGCAUUAAAUCCCAACUUGACAUGGAUCAGGACUUACAGGCUCAUUAGUUCAUCAGCUCUGUCACUCUGCUUUUACUGUGUUAAACUCCAAAGUUGAUAUCAGCUUCUAACGCAGUGAUAUAUUCAGUGCAGAAGUGCGACCUGUUAGUGCUUUCUUGGUGAUGCAUUUCUCAGUCUAGAAGAGAGGACUUAAAAAAAAUUCAGGCCGAAGCCUUGACAUGGCAAAGGGAACGUUAGUCAACAGUAACAAAAUAAGCAGCCAGUCUGCACCCUACAGGCACCAAAUGAGUGGUUCCCUAGCCAUCAGAGAGACCUUCCUAUUGAUAUGAGAGGCAUAUCAAUAACCAGCUUACAUGCCAUGGUUUUUGUAAUACUUCUGUUGUACAAUCAUACUUUUUACCAUAACUUUGGAAAACAAUUCGCAAAGUAGGUCACAUUAAAAACCCACAGAUGAAGAAAUGUGUCAUGGAGUUAGGAAGGAGAUAUUUAAUGUUGUCCAGCCAGUCCAGAGCUGAUGUUAAAAACCAGCAUCAGGCUAGCAUCCCCUCAGGAUUUGGUGGAACAUCUCCUCUAAGAGGACAGGCUGAGAGAGCUGGGGCUGUUCAGCCUGGAGAAGAGAAAGCUCCAAGGAGACCUGACAGCGGCUUGUCAGUAUGUAAAGGGGAGCCUGUAAGAAAGAAAGGGACAGACACGGUAGCAGGGUCUGUUGUGACAGGACAAGGGGAAAUGGUUUCAGACUAAAAGAGGGGAGAUUUAAAUUGGAUAUAAGGAAAAAGGUUUGUUUGUUUGUUUGUUUGUUUGUUUGUUUUAAUAAGGGUAGUGAGGCACUGGAAUGGGUUGUCCAGUGAGAUGGUGGAUGCCCCAUCCGUGGAGACACUCGAGGUCAGGUUGGACAGAGCUCUGAGCAACUCGAUCUAGCUGUGGUGCCCCUGUUGAUUGCAGGGGAGUAGGAUUAGAUGAGUUUUAAGGUUCCCUUCCAACUCAAAUGAUUCCAUAAGUCUACAGUUGUAAGUAAUGGCAGAGCAUUUGCAUGCUGCCUCCACUCCAGCAAGGCUCACCUUCAGGAAAAGGAUACCAGCUAAUCAUGAGCAAGCUCUCUGAAGAUCAGUUCAUUUGCAAUUCCUCUCAAGCAAGCUUUGGGGAGUGUCUAGCACCUGCCGUAAAACCGGAUGUUCCAAUAAGCCAAGUCAAAAAAGGUGUGCAAGUGGAAGGAUGAGCACUUGUCCUUGAGGGAGGGCAUUUAACAUACCUAGAAACACGGCCAUUUUUAAAAUUAAUUAAUCCCCUUAAGGAACUGUGAGUGAUGGAUUAGAGACCUUAACUGAGGAAGCAGUCUGUGACACUGUGUGUGCUGGAGGAAGCACUGAGAAAGGACGUAGCUUUGCAGUGUCAUGUGCCUAAGCAAAAAGUCAGUCUUGAGGAGCAGAUCAUCUUUAUUGGCUGCAGGGGAGUCUGGGCAGCCAGGCACGGGCAGAGGAGGAUUUGCAGAACCUUCAGCUCUCCAGCCAGCCCUGGGAGCAGCCGGGUGAGGAGAGAAAAGGGGAAGCUUAAGAUAGCUUCACCAGGAGGAACAGAGCGUGCAGUGAAAUUUUAAAAUAUACCCUUGACUCUGAGAAACGUCUA